AAGAUAAGAUAUCCCUUCGUAAGAGUAAGACCUCUCAAAGACUAUGAGUUUGAUAGGCUCAAAGUGUAAGCGUGGUGACACGUUCAGCUUGCGAGUACUAAUCGGUCGAGGGCUUUUCCU
This 120-nucleotide ribosomal RNA is filed under the name Ruminococcus flavefaciens. RNAcentral's name for it is "partial 23S rRNA. Bacterial LSU". It matches the Rfam family "Bacterial large subunit ribosomal RNA", at positions 2801 to 2925 of the family's 2925-position model. Lineage: Bacteria; Bacillati; Bacillota; Clostridia; Eubacteriales; Oscillospiraceae. The record is from RNAcentral.